UACGGGGGGAGCAAGCGUUGUUCGGAUUUAUUGGGCGUAAAGAGCUCGUAGGCGGUUCGGCAAGUCGGAUGUGAAAUCUCCACGCUCAACGUGGAGGGGCCAUUCGAAACUGCCGUGACUCGAGUCCGGUAGGGGAGUGUGGAAUUCCCGGUGUAGCGGUGAAAUGCGCAGAUAUCGGGGGGAACACCAGUAGCGAAGGCGGCACUCUGGGCCGGUACUGACGCUGAGGAGCGAAAGCGUGGGGAGCAAACAGG
This 254-nucleotide ribosomal RNA is filed under the name uncultured bacterium. RNAcentral describes it as "partial 16S ribosomal RNA". It matches the Rfam family "Bacterial small subunit ribosomal RNA", at positions 524 to 776 of the family's 1533-position model. The record is from RNAcentral.